GACAGUUCUGAGGAGGCUCCUUCGAUUUUUGACGAUAAGAAGUAGGAGUCUGCUUAUUUGCACGGUUCCCCCCUUCCCACGACUGUGGAAGUGCCCAGAGAAAAGGGCAAAAAUAUUAGAUAUCAAUGAAUUAAUUAGGAGAGAUGUCGUUGCCAUCAAUGAAAAGAUCUGAUACGACAGGCAACAAAUGAACUGUCACCCAUGGAUUUUUUCGGACCAUUUUUGGAGAAUGGGCAACCAAGGAGGAAUUUUUUCGAAAGGGAAGGUCUCCACUUUAAUAAGAAAGGCUUCCAAUACGUGAAGUGGAUUUUCAUGCAGCAGGUGAUAAUAAGGUAUUGCUGCUGAACAAGGCAGUAGGCGAGGGGGCCUGCCAUUAUAUUUAAAACUCCCCAUCACUGGCGACGGGCAGUAGGCAAGGGGAGUGGAGUGUUGCAGCCUUUAUUAUUUUAUUUUAUAAUACAUUAUUUUAAUAUAGCAUUGAU
Molecule: long non-coding RNA, 482 nt
Organism: Bacillus rossius redtenbacheri
Lineage: Eukaryota; Metazoa; Arthropoda; Insecta; Phasmatodea; Bacillidae
Exons: 4
Source: RefSeq, a predicted model, not a curated record